This 253-nucleotide ribosomal RNA is filed under the name uncultured bacterium. RNAcentral describes it as "partial 16S ribosomal RNA". It matches the Rfam family "Bacterial small subunit ribosomal RNA", at positions 524 to 776 of the family's 1533-position model. The record is from RNAcentral.
UACGUAGGCAGCAAGCGUUGUUCGGAGUUACUGGGCGUAAAGGGUGCGUAGUCGGUUGUUUAAGUUUGGUGUGAAAUCUCCCGGCUCAACUGGGAGGGUGCGCCGAAUACUGAAUGACUAGAGUGCGGGAGAGGAGAGUGGAAUUCCUGGUGUAGCGGUGAAAUGCGUAGAUAUCAGGAGGAACACCGGUGGUGUAGACGGCUCUCUGGACCGUAACUGACGCUGAGGCACGAAAGCGUGGGUAGCAAACAGG